AUUGAACGCUGGCGGCAGGCCUAACACAUGCAAGUCGGACGGUAGCACAGAGAGCUUGCUCUUGGGUGACGAGUGGCGGACGGGUGAGUAAUGUCUGGGGAUCUGCCCGAUAGAGGGGGAUAACCACUGGAAACGGUGGCUAAUACCGCAUAACGUCGCAAGACCAAAGAGGGGGACCUUCGGGCCUCUCACUAUCGGAUGAACCCAGAUGGGAUUAGCUAGUAGGCGGGGUAAUGGCCCACCUAGGCGACGAUCCCUAGCUGGUCUGAGAGGAUGACCAGCCACACUGGAACUGAGACACGGUCCAGACUCCUACGGGAGGCAGCAGUGGGGAAUAUUGCACAAUGGGCGCAAGCCUGAUGCAGCCAUGCCGCGUGUAUGAAGAAGGCCUUCGGGUUGUAAAGUACUUUCAGCGGGGAGGAAGGCGGUGAGGUUAAUAACCUCACCGAUUGACGUUACCCGCAGAAGAAGCACCGGCUAACUCCGUGCCAGCAGCCGCGGUAA
Molecule: ribosomal RNA, 504 nt
Filed under: uncultured bacterium
Lineage: Bacteria
Description: partial 16S ribosomal RNA
Rfam family: Bacterial small subunit ribosomal RNA
Source: RNAcentral